GACGGAGGGGGCUAGCGUUGUUCGGAAUUACUGGGCGUAAAGAGCGCGUAGGCGGUUUGGUAAGUUGGAAGUGAAAGCCCGAGGCUUAACCUCGGAAUUGCUUUCAAAACUGCUGAACUAGAGUGUAGUAGGGGAUGAUGGAAUUCCUAGUGUAGAGGUGAAAUUCUUAGAUAUUAGGAGGAACACCGGUGGCGAAGGCGGUCAUCUGGGCUACAACUGACGCUGAGGCGCGAAAGCGUGGGGAGCAAACAGG
RNAcentral lists this ribosomal RNA (253 nucleotides) under uncultured bacterium. RNAcentral's name for it is "partial 16S ribosomal RNA". It matches the Rfam family "Bacterial small subunit ribosomal RNA", at positions 524 to 776 of the family's 1533-position model. The record is from RNAcentral.